This is a long non-coding RNA of Ostrea edulis (European flat oyster), 508 nucleotides long. RefSeq lists it as uncharacterized. Lineage: Eukaryota; Metazoa; Mollusca; Bivalvia; Ostreida; Ostreidae. The transcript is spliced from 3 exons. The record is from RefSeq and is a predicted model, not a curated record.
UUAUAUUUCUUGUUUCCAUUCUACUCUACUGAUGCACUUCAAAUGGUAAUGAUCUUUUUAUAUGUAUUAUAAAUCACACAUCUAAUAUACUUCCCAAUCUUGUAACCCUUGUGCUGAGAAUGUGUGCAGGGUGUAAUUUGAUAGAAACGAAGUUUGUAUUAUGAAACAACUGUGACACAAUUUGCUAAUUCUGAGGAAAAUCCCAAGUAAAUGGACAAGAUUUUCACUCAUAUGGAGACAUCACCAUUGCCAGUGAAGGGCUGCAAAAUUUAGGCCUAUGCUCGGCGCGUAUGGCCUUUGAGCAGGGAGGGAUCAUUAUCGUGCCACACCUGCUGUGACACGGGACCUCGGUUUUUGCGGUCUCAUCUGAAGAUUCAUUACUAAGCAAGUAAUCCCUGGAGUUAGACUUAGUCCUAUGCCAUGGGAUAUGCAGGCUUUGUCUCAGUUUGGGGGAUGCAGGCUUGUCCAACAGAUCUUCCCGUGAGCUAAACCGAUGCCUCGAACUCUG